ACUCCCCUGCCGCGUGCGACCCUGGCUGUGAUUUUUUUGAGCCAUUAAAUCUUUGAACGGGAGCUGUUUAGAUCCGCGAGUUGCGCAGACCCGGAGGUCUUCCAUGGAAGAUGGCCGGGGAGCCUGAAAACGGAUACCAUGGCGCCCACCUGGUUAAACCAGGUUCAAAAGAUGCGGCCAGCCGGCGAUGGCGGGGGAUUU
Molecule: non-coding RNA, 201 nt
Filed under: Nitrospinota bacterium
Lineage: Bacteria; Pseudomonadati; Nitrospinota
Description: 6S RNA
Rfam family: 6S / SsrS RNA
About the family: E. coli 6S RNA was the first non coding RNA to be sequenced, but its function was unknown until recently.
Source: RNAcentral